Molecule: long non-coding RNA, 583 nt
Filed under: Homo sapiens (human)
Lineage: Eukaryota; Metazoa; Chordata; Mammalia; Primates; Hominidae
Description: non-protein coding LINC02480:10
Source: RNAcentral
GUUUCUUCUUUCUUAUGUGCCAGUUGCUGUGCUGAGGAUAUGAAGCUAAAUAAGCCUCUCUCCUUUUCCUCAUGAAGCUCAAAAGCUUAGAUAGGAAGCAAAUAAAUAUAAUAUAGCAUGAUAAUUGCAAGAAUAUUAACAUGUCCAAAAGUUAAAGAGAGAAAGCAUAAAGAAGAAAGUGAUGAGCUCUGAGGGGUUGAGGCUUUUGCUCUCUCUUAAAUUGAUUGCUAUUUAGCACCCAUCAAAAGCUCUGCAGAGGGGACCAUCAUUAACGGCAUUUACGAAGACAUCCACUUAUUCCAACAGGAGGAAGACCAACGCUUCUUAUCAUAAACACAAGUUCCUGCUAUACACAACACAUCCUUGAAUUCUAGGGAAGCCAAGAUGUACAUGAAAUGACUGCAGGUCUUAAAGGUCUUGAAUCUAAUUGUGGCACUGGGGCAUAUGUAGAGAUAAAUAUCACGUAGCAUAUGCUAAGGUGAUUUCGAAGAUCUAUUCUAUCUUAAGACACUGUAAGUCUAAUUAUUAAAUGAGCAAUACAGACAUUUAGUCAAAGUGUGUUCUGUUUUGAGGGAGCUGCUUA